This 497-nucleotide ribosomal RNA is filed under the name uncultured bacterium. RNAcentral describes it as "partial 16S ribosomal RNA". It matches the Rfam family "Bacterial small subunit ribosomal RNA", at positions 28 to 507 of the family's 1533-position model. The record is from RNAcentral.
GAUGAACGCUGGCGGCGUGCCUAAUACAUGCCAGUCGAGCGAACGGACGAGAAGCUUGCUUCUCUGAUGUUAGCGGCGGACGGGUGAGUAACACGUGGAUAACCUACCUAUAAGACUGGGAUAACUUCGGGAAACCGGAGCUAAUACCGGAUAAUAUUUUGAACCGCAUGGUUCAAAAGUGAAAGACGGUCUUGCUGUCACUUAUAGAUGGAUCCGCGCUGCAUUAGCUAGUUGGUAAGGUAACGGCAUACCAAGGCAACGAUGCAUAGCCGACCUGAGAGGGUGAUCGGCCACACUGGAACUGAGACACGGUCCAGACUCCUACGGGAGGCAGCAGUAGGGAAUCUUCCGCAAUGGGCGAAAGCCUGACGGAGCAACGCCGCGUGAGUGAUGAAGGUCUUCGGAUCGUAAAACUCUGUUAUUAGGGAAGAACAUAUGUGUAAGUAACUGUGCACAUCUUGACGGUACCUAAUCAGAAAGCCACGGCUAACUACGUG